UGGCUCAGUGGCAGAGCGCUUGCCUUGCAUGCAUGAGGCCCUGAGUUCGAUUCCUCAG
This 58-nucleotide transfer RNA is filed under the name Dipodomys ordii (Ord's kangaroo rat). It matches the Rfam family "tRNA", at positions 8 to 63 of the family's 71-position model. Rfam says of the family: Transfer RNA (tRNA) molecules are approximately 80 nucleotides in length. The record is from Rfam by way of RNAcentral. Lineage: Eukaryota; Metazoa; Chordata; Mammalia; Rodentia; Heteromyidae.